This 511-nucleotide long non-coding RNA is filed under the name Homo sapiens (human). RNAcentral describes it as "HSALNT0283542". Lineage: Eukaryota; Metazoa; Chordata; Mammalia; Primates; Hominidae. The record is from RNAcentral.
CUUUCUUAGCUGUUGCCUGAGCCACCUGGCAGGCGGCCCGGGCUAUCUCAGUAUCCCUAGUGUUUUCCCUGGCUGGCCUCUGCCUCCUGGCCUGGGGCUGACUAAGCUUCCCACACACAGGCCAGGGCUGCCUCGCCUGUCUGUGCGUCAUGGAGAAUUCAACAGUGGCGACCCCAUCAUCAGAACUCCCCAAAUUCUGGGAAGUUCAGAGCCCUCGGCCUGCAGCCCGGGAGGCCUCGUGCCCAGACGCCAUGCACCCUCCGGUGACCAGCUGCCACCUGUCCAUCCUCCAAGACCGGAAAGGCAGCAGCAGCCCCUGGGAGCCCAGGGCUGUCCUUGGUGCAUCCAGCUGCAGAGGGAAAUUGAUGACCUUACACAGCAACUAGUGCCCGGUUCUGCCUCUCUGUUUCAGCGGCCAUGCAGUCCUUCACUGACAAGUUCCAGGACCUUUGAAGUUGGAGCCAGCGUCCGGAGCUGCAGCCAAGCGAGUUUCCUCCUUAUCCUCCUUAGC